CCGGGUCUAACGACUGCCCGAACCAAAACAGUGCACCUUUACCGUACACACUCUUCCGCUGCGGCGGGCCGCUCGCUGGGGGAGCCCCCGGGGCCGAGAGGCCUGGCCCGCCGAAGCGACAGACACCCGUCUCCGAAGCUCGACGCUCCGAAGCACGCUCUGAGAGGCACAGAAAGCCUUCUGAAGGCAAAUCUUGUCA
Molecule: unclassified non-coding RNA, 199 nt
Filed under: uncultured Sordariales
Lineage: Eukaryota; Fungi; Ascomycota; Sordariomycetes; Sordariales
Description: sequence contains ITS1
Source: RNAcentral